This 317-nucleotide RNase P RNA is filed under the name bovine gut metagenome. RNAcentral's name for it is "Bacterial RNase P class A". It matches the Rfam family "Bacterial RNase P class A", at positions 32 to 358 of the family's 367-position model. From Rfam's summary of the family: Ribonuclease P (RNase P) is a ubiquitous endoribonuclease, found in archaea, bacteria and eukarya as well as chloroplasts and mitochondria. Its best characterised activity is the generation of mature 5'-ends of tRNAs by cleaving the 5'-leader elements of precursor-tRNAs. The record is from RNAcentral.
CACUCGUGUAUGAGGAAAGUCCGAGCUCCAUAGGGCAGGGUGCCGGGUAACACCCGGUGGAGGCGACUCCAAGGAAAGUGCAACAGAGAUAUACCGCCUGUUAUUAUAAUAGGUAAGGAUGGAAAGGCGAGGUAAGAGCUCACCGGCGACAUGGCGACUUGUCGGCCCUGUAAACCCCACUCGGUGCAAGAUUGGAAUGAGAGCAUUUAAUGGCUGCCCGUCACGCUCUCGGGAAUCGCUUGAACCUAUUGGUAACAAUAGGUCUAGAUAGAUGGUCACAAAAACCUUUGGUUUUACAGAACUCGGCUUACGGAUUG